CGUGUAGGCGGUCAGGUAAGUGGAAUGUGAAAUGCCCCGGCUCACCCGGGGACCUGCAUCCCAAGCUGCCUGGCUUGAGUAUGGGAGAGGAUGGAGGAAUUCCUGGUGUAGCGGUGAAACGCGUAGAUAUCAGGAGGAACACCGGUGGCGAAGGCGUCCAUCUGGCCCAAUACUGACGCUGAGGCGCGAAAGCUAGGGGAGCGAACGGGAUUAGAUACCCCGGUAGUCCUAGCCGUAAACGGUGAUCACUAGAUGUUGGGGGCAUCGACCCCUCCAGUGCCGCAGCUAACGCAUUAAGUGAUCCGCCUGGGGAGUACGGCCGCAAGGUUGAA
This 332-nucleotide ribosomal RNA is filed under the name uncultured bacterium. RNAcentral describes it as "bacterial SSU rRNA". It matches the Rfam family "Bacterial small subunit ribosomal RNA", at positions 568 to 898 of the family's 1533-position model. The record is from RNAcentral.